GCAGUCGACGGUAGCACAGAGAGCUUGCUCUCGGGUGACGAGUGGCGGACGGGUGAGUAAUGUCUGGGAAACUGCCUGAUGGAGGGGGAUAACUACUGGAAACGGUAGCUAAUACCGCAUAACGUCGCAAGACCAAAGUGGGGGACCUUCGGGCCUCAUGCCAUCAGAUGUGCCCAGAUGGGAUUAGCUUGUUGGUGAGGUAACGGCUCACCAAGGCGACGAUCCCUAGCUGGUCUGAGAGGAUGACCAGCCACACUGGAACUGAGACACGGUCCAGACUCCUACGGGAGGCAGCAGUGGGGAAUAUUGCACAAUGGGCGCAAGCCUGAUGCAGCCAUGCCGCGUGUAUGAAGAAGGCCUUCGGGUUGUAAAGUACUUUCAGCGAGGAGGAAGGGGGAAUGGUUAAUAACCAUUUUCAUUGACGUUACUCGCAGAAGAAGCACCGGCUAACUCCGUGCCAGCAGCCGCGGUAAUACGGAGGGUGCAAGCGUUAAUCGGAAUUACUGGGCGUAAAGCGCACGCAGGCGGUCUGUCAGGUCGGAUGUGAAAUCCCCGGGCUCAACCUGGGAACUGCAUUCGAAACUGGCAGGCUAGAGUCUUGUAGAGGGGGGUAGAAUUCCAGGUGUAGCGGUGAAAUGCGUAGAGAUCUGGAGGAAUACCGGUGGCGAAGGCGGCCCCCUGGACAAGACUGACGCUCAGUGCGAAGCGUGGGAGCAACAGGAU
Molecule: ribosomal RNA, 723 nt
Filed under: uncultured bacterium
Lineage: Bacteria
Description: bacterial SSU rRNA
Rfam family: Bacterial small subunit ribosomal RNA
Source: RNAcentral